GAUGAACGCUGGCGGCGUGCCUAAUACAUGCAAGUCGAGCGAACAGACGAGGAGCUUGCUCCUCUGACGUUAGCGGCGGACGGGUGAGUAACACGUGGAUAACCUACCUAUAAGACUGGGAUAACUUCGGGAAACCGGAGCUAAUACCGGAUAAUAUAUUGAACCGCAUGGUUCAAUAGUGAAAGACGGUUUUGCUGUCACUUAUAGAUGGAUCCGCGCCGCAUUAGCUAGUUGGUAAGGUACCGGCUUACCAAGGCAACGAUGCGUAGCCGACCUGAGAGGGUGACCGGCCCCGCGGGAAAAGAAAAACCUCACAGAGUCAUAAGGAAGGCAGGAGUGGGGAAUCUGCGGGAAGGGGAGAAAGAUUAACGGACAAACGAAAGGUGAGUGGAGAAGGUCUCCGGAACGAAAAACCGGUUUAUAAGGAAAGAACAAAUGUGUAAGGAAGAAUAAGGACGUGGACGGUAAAAAAACAAAAAGCCCGGGCAAAAAAGGA
RNAcentral lists this ribosomal RNA (496 nucleotides) under uncultured bacterium. RNAcentral describes it as "partial 16S ribosomal RNA". It matches the Rfam family "Bacterial small subunit ribosomal RNA", at positions 28 to 506 of the family's 1533-position model. The record is from RNAcentral.